CAUACCCCUAGAAACAUGGCAGGUGUGGCUGCUGUGUCACAUGUACAUCAGUAGACAGCAGAGAGGAGAGAGACUAUGUUUAUGAUCAGUGUUCUGACCUGUAAAAAUCCGAAUGAUUAGUAACCUAACAUU
This is a small nucleolar RNA of Apodemus sylvaticus (European woodmouse), 132 nucleotides long. RefSeq annotates it as small nucleolar RNA SNORA17. NCBI's taxonomy places the organism in Eukaryota, Metazoa, Chordata, Mammalia, Rodentia, Muridae. The record is from RefSeq and is a predicted model, not a curated record. The transcript has a single exon.